This 497-nucleotide ribosomal RNA is filed under the name uncultured bacterium. RNAcentral's name for it is "partial 16S ribosomal RNA". It matches the Rfam family "Bacterial small subunit ribosomal RNA", at positions 28 to 507 of the family's 1533-position model. The record is from RNAcentral.
GAUGAACGCUGGCGGCGUGCCUAAUACAUGCAAGUCGAGCGAACAGACGAGGAGCUUGCUCCUCUGACGUUAGCGGCGGACGGGUGAGUAACACGUGGAUAACCUACCUAUAAGACUGGGAUAACUUCGGGAAACCGGAGCUAAUACCGGAUAAUAUAUUGAACCGCAUGGUUCAAUAGUGAAAGACGGUUUUGCUGUCACUUAUCGAUGGAUCCGCGCCGCAUUAGCUAGUUGGUAAGGUAACGGCUUACCAAGGCGACGAUGCGUAGCCGACCUGCGAGGGUGAUCGGCCACACUGGAACUGAGACACGGUCCAGACUCCUACGGGAGGCAGCAGUAGGGAAUCUUCCGCAAUGGGCGAAAGCCUGACGGAGCAACGCCGCGUGAGUGAUGAAGGUCUUCGGAUCGUAAAACUCUGUUAUUAGGGAAGAACAAAUGUGUAAGUAACUAUGCACGUCUUGACGGUACCUAAUCAGAAAGCCACGGCUAACUACGUG